This 301-nucleotide ribosomal RNA is filed under the name uncultured bacterium. RNAcentral describes it as "partial 16S ribosomal RNA". It matches the Rfam family "Bacterial small subunit ribosomal RNA", at positions 509 to 807 of the family's 1533-position model. The record is from RNAcentral.
CAGUCGCCGCGGGAAUACGGAGGGUGCAAGCGUUAAUCGGAAUUACUGGGCGUAAAGCGCACGCAGGCGGUUUGUUAAGUCAGAUGUGAAAUCCCCGAGCUUAACUUGGGAACUGCAUUUGAAACUGGCAAGCUAGAGUCUUGUAGAGGGGGGUAGAAUUCCAGGUGUAGCGGUGAAAUGCGUAGAGAUCUGGAGGAAUACCGGUGGCGAAGGCGGCCCCCUGGACAAAGACUGACGCUCAGGUGCGAAAGCGUGGGGAGCAAACAGGAUUAGAUACCCCGGUAGUCCCUGUCUCUUAUAC